AUUGAACGCUGGCGGCAUGCCUUACACAUGCAAGUCGAACGGUAACAGGUCUUCGGAUGCUGACGAGUGGCGAACGGGUGAGUAAUACAUCGGAACGUGCCUAGUAGUGGGGGAUAACUACUCGAAAGAGUGGCUAAUACCGCAUGAGAUCUACGGAUGAAAGCAGGGGAUCGCAAGACCUUGUGCUACUAGAGCGGCCGAUGGCAGAUGAGGUAGUUGGUGGGAUAAAAGCUUACCAAGCCGACGAUCUGUAGCUGGUCUGAGAGGACGAACAGCCACACUGGGACUGAGAAACGGCCCAGACUCCUACGGGAGGCAGCAGUGGGGAAUUUUGGACAAUGGGCGCAAGCCUGAUCCAGCAAUGCCGCGUGCAGGAUGAAGGCCUUCGGGUUGUAAACUGCUUUCGUACGGAACGAAAAGCCCCGGGUUAAUACCCUGGGGUCAUGACGGUACCGUAAGAAUAAGCACCGGCUAACUACGUGCCAGCCGCCGCCGUAA
Molecule: ribosomal RNA, 498 nt
Filed under: uncultured bacterium
Lineage: Bacteria
Description: partial 16S ribosomal RNA
Rfam family: Bacterial small subunit ribosomal RNA
Source: RNAcentral